This is a long non-coding RNA of Daktulosphaira vitifoliae (grape phylloxera), 912 nucleotides long. RefSeq lists it as uncharacterized. Lineage: Eukaryota; Metazoa; Arthropoda; Insecta; Hemiptera; Phylloxeridae. The transcript has 3 exons. The record is from RefSeq and is a predicted model, not a curated record.
UUGGCAUUUAAUAGUAAAUUGAUAUAACUCAAUAAACAUUUUUGAACAUUGAGUUCAUAUUAACCGGAAGUGCAAUAACUAAUAAUAAUUUAUCAUUUACACAAAAAUAUUUGAACUCCCUAUAUUCUUUCUUCUCCAGAAAUCUGAAUAAAUAUCUAUUGACAUUUAUGAAAUAACUUUAAAACUUUAUACUUUAUUGUAUUAAAAUAUUUUUAUUUAAAAUAAUAAAAAAUAAUAAAUAUAAUAUAUUUACUAUUAUAUAAUAGUAAAUUAUAAAAAUUUUUAUACCCAAAGCAUAGUUGUUAAUUAUUUUUAUAUAAUUUAUUAAUUUUUUAUAGGUAUAUUAUUUUAAAUAAAAUUAUUCUUUGGGAGCAUGUUUUAUUUAACUUGAAAGGUUGUUCUAUUGAAGUAUUCUUAUCUUCCCUUCUUAUUUAUAUUAUUUGGGAUACAAUUACUAGAGCCUAUAUUAAUACUGAAAAAUGUUUUGUUGCUUAAAGUGGGUACCAUUAAAAGUUUCAGUGCAUAUACGAGAACAGCAUUUGAUUUUUGUAUGACAAGAGAAAUGGCCGCAAAUUUUAGUUUUUGUGACAACACCAAACAAGCUUUUAAUAAGCUUCACAUUUUUUAGAUGCUAUGUCUGGCCAAAUCAUAAUACCUGAACACGAAAGAACAUUUAACAAAAUAAUGGCUAAUAUUUUAAAGCAUUAUGGCAAUAAGAAAGCAUCACAGCAAUAAAAUACUUUUUUUUUUUUUGUUAUUCAAUCAACAUUUCAUUUUUUUGUAAAUGACUUUUAAAAUUUAUUUACUUAGAUUAUUUCACAGUUUUUUUUUUAUUAAUAAGUAAAAACAAAAUAUAGCAUUUUAGGUAUCAAAAUAAAAACAGUAAAAAAAAACCCAGUACAGGGGGGUCGC